CCUACGGGAGGCAGCAGUCGGGAAUAUUGCGCAAUGGAGGAAACUCUGACGCAGUGACGCCGCGUGCAGGAAGAAGGUUUUCGGAUUGGAAACUGCUUUAGACAGGGAAGAAAAAAGACAGUACCGGUAGAAUAAGCGCCGGCUAACUACGUGACAGCAGCCGCGGUAAUACGUAGGGAGCACGCGUUAUCCGGAUUUACUGGGUGUAAAGGGUGCGUAGGCGGAUAAGCAAGUUAGUUGUGAAAUCCCUGGGCCUAACUGAGGAACUGCAACUAAAACUACUUCCCUUGAGUACUGGAGAGGAAAGCGGAAUGCCUGGUGUAGCGGUGAAAUGCGUAGAUAUUAGGAGGAACACCAGUGGCGAAGGCGACUUGCUGGACAGUCACUGACGUUGAGGCACGAAAGUGUGGGGAGCAAACAGGAUUAGAUACCCCUGUAGUC
RNAcentral lists this ribosomal RNA (441 nucleotides) under uncultured bacterium. RNAcentral's name for it is "partial 16S ribosomal RNA". It matches the Rfam family "Bacterial small subunit ribosomal RNA", at positions 338 to 795 of the family's 1533-position model. The record is from RNAcentral.